This 253-nucleotide ribosomal RNA is filed under the name uncultured bacterium. Its description in RNAcentral is "partial 16S ribosomal RNA". It matches the Rfam family "Bacterial small subunit ribosomal RNA", at positions 524 to 776 of the family's 1533-position model. The record is from RNAcentral.
UACGUAGGGCGCAAGCGUUGUCCGGAAUUAUUGGGCGUAACGAGCUCGUAGGCGGUUUGUCGCGUCGGAUGUGAAAGCCCGGGGCUUAACUCCGGGUCUGCAUUCGAUACGGGCAGGCUAGAGUUCGGUAGGGGAGAUCGGAAUUCCUGGUGUAGCGGUGAAAUGCGCAGAUAUCGGGAGGAACACCGGUGGCGAAGGCGGUUCUCUGGGCCUGUACUGACGCUGAGGAGCGAAAGCGUGGGGAGCGAACAGG